GGAGUGAGACGGCGUCAGGGGAGGGCGGCCGAGUUCCCGUCUCCCACGGCUGACGAGAAAGAGAAGAGCUGCAAAGGCUGUCAUUAGACCCUCAAUGUCGUAAACCGCAUUAAAGCGAGUGUGCGACAA
Eriocheir sinensis (Chinese mitten crab) is the source of this 129-nucleotide long non-coding RNA. RefSeq lists it as uncharacterized. Lineage: Eukaryota; Metazoa; Arthropoda; Malacostraca; Decapoda; Varunidae. The transcript has 2 exons. The record is from RefSeq and is a predicted model, not a curated record.